RNAcentral lists this long non-coding RNA (912 nucleotides) under Cyanistes caeruleus (blue tit). RNAcentral's name for it is "lncRNA (ENSCCEG00000015050.1)". The record is from RNAcentral. Lineage: Eukaryota; Metazoa; Chordata; Aves; Passeriformes; Paridae.
AUGAGUAAGUUGCUACAAGUUAAAGGGAAGAUGUUGUAUCCUUUAAAGAAGUUAUUUUUAGGACAAAGGGUCUUGGGAUUCACUGUCAUAAGUUUUAACUCUUGUGGUCAAGUCAUCCUACAUGAUUUUUGGAUAAGCUUGCAGAACUACUCCCUUGAGCAAGUAAACAUAAAGAUUGCAGGAUCAGGAGAUCUCUGCAAAACUGCAUCGACUUCUAAAUUAUGUUCACCUUGGGUCACAGUGGGACUGAAAUAUAAAAAUGAAUUUUUUAGAGUAUCCAGCUGUGCAGCAGUGGCUUAUGGUAGAAAAAGGAAUCUCGACAGUAGGAAAUGAAGCUUUCACUAGAUGUGUGUAGGCCUGUCUUCAGUGAUAAAGGCAGUUGAAGAGGCUCCUUCCUUCCUCCACUCCAGCUGCUUAUUCUCAUUUUCACCUGCUGGGAUUCCGUGCACAGUCACUGGGGUCACACUCUAAAGCAGACUUGCAAAGUGAUCUGUUAAUGUUUGAUGUCAAGAUGGAUCAUUUUGCUAAUAUUUAUCGGCUAAAGUUGUUGGGAAUCCCACAAAAACAAAGCAAAAAACAAAAAAAAAAACCCCACCACUAUUCUAUUGAUCUUUGUAAUCUUUGAUCCCUACUUAAAAUAUUUUGUUGUCAUCUGCACAGCAUUUCUUUUUGAGAGCUUUAUCCUGAACAGUAUGGAGAGGCUCCCACUGUGCACUGAAAAUCUGCCAGAGAAAACAAAAAAUUAAAAGAGAUUUUGACCUCCCAAGUGAACUGAACAAUUUGCUGAACUUUGUUCUUGGUCACAGCAGUGUGGUAGAUGCUGCUUUGAUUCCAUGCCUCAUAGGUCCUAAUAUUUCAAGUAAAAGACAUAAUUAACUGGAAUACAAAUAAACAUUAAAAAAUACUAGUUCA